Molecule: long non-coding RNA, 301 nt
Filed under: Callithrix jacchus (white-tufted-ear marmoset)
Lineage: Eukaryota; Metazoa; Chordata; Mammalia; Primates; Cebidae
Description: lncRNA (ENSCJAG00000075112.1)
Source: RNAcentral
GAAACGAGAGGAUCCCUUGAGCCUGGAAGUUUGAGGCUGCAAUAAGCUAUGAUGGUGUCACUGCACUCCAGCAUGGGUGAUAGGGAAGAGAAAAAGACCUGACUCUGUUUGGAAAAUGCAAACAUGGAAGAACUCAGAAACAAUAGGUUUCUAGACUGGCUGGAAGGUAAGCUCUAACUCUACUGAUUUGCUUGCCUUUGUUUGUUCUGCCUCUGUGGGUAGCUGGGACUAUCCCUAAAUAAAUCUUUGAGGUUUUCCACAAUGCAUUAAGUAACACUCACAAGCUGUGCUCUGAGGAGUU